AAGCCGGGGGGACCACCCUCCAACCCUAAAUACUACCUGAUGACCGAUAGUGAAAAGUACAGUGAUGGAAAGUUGAAAAGAACCCCGGAAGGGGAGUGAAAAAGAAUCUGAAACCCUAUGUUUACAAGCUGCUAAAGCACCAUAUGAGUGCGAUAGCGUACUUUUUGUAGAACGGUCCGGCGAGUGUAUGUUGCAAGCGAGGUUAAGGUGUUAAGCACUGAAGCCGAAGGGAGACCGAGUGUGAAUAGCGCGUACAGUUUGCAGUAUACGACCCGAAACCGGGUGACCUAACCAUGGACAGGUUGAAGUGGAAGUAAAAUUCCAUGGAGGACCGAACCGACCUCCGUUGAAAAGGCGGCGGAUGAACUGUGGGUAGCGGAGAAAUUCCAAUCGAACUCGGAUAUAGCUGGUUCUCAUCGAAAUAGCUUUAGGGCUAGCCUCAGGAUAGUUUAGCGGAGGUAAAGCACUGAAUGGGCUAGGGGGCUUCACGGCUUACCGAACCCUAUCAAACUCUGAAUGCCGCAUAAAUGUUUCCUGGGAGUCAGACUGCGUGAGAUAAGUUUCGUAGUCAAAAGGGAAAGAGCCCAGACCUACAGCUAAGGUCCCUAAAUGAAUUUAAGUGGAAAAGGAUGUGCAGUUGCGUAGACAACUAGGACGUUGGCUUAGAAGCAGCCACUCAUUUAAAGAGUGCGUAAUAGCUCACUAGUCGAGUGAUUGUGCGCCGAAAAUGUAACGGGGCUAAAAUUCAUACCGAAGCUUAGGCUUUGCACACUUUGUGUGCGAGGGGUAGAUGAGCGUUGUGUAAGUCUGCGAAGCUACACCGAAAGGAGUAGUGGAGAUAUCACAAGUGAGAAUGCCGGAAUGAGUAGCGAGAAUUAUGUGAGAAUCAUAAUGGUCGAAAAUCUAAGGUUUCUUGAGGAAGGUUCGUCCGCUCAAGGUAAGCCGGGAGCUAAGGCGAGGCCGAGAGGCGUAGUCGAUGCACAUACGGUAAAGAUUCCGUAGCCACCGAAGUCGUUAAAUACAGGGACACAGGAACAUAGCCUAACCCCACCGUUGGUUGAGUGGGGCGUAAGGGAGCGAAAAUUAGUAGCGAAGUAGGUGAUUGUACACUGGCGAGAAAAGCUGUAUGAAUUGACAAGGUGCCCGUACCGCAAACCGACACAGGUAGAUGAGGAGAGAAUCCUAAGACCAGCGGGAGAAGUGUUGUUAAGGAACUCGGCAAAAUGACCCCGUAACUUCGGGAUAAGGGGAGCCUACGCGAGUAGGCCGCAGAGAAUAGUCUCAAGCGACUGUUUAGCAAAAACACAGGUCUAUGCUAAAUCGAAAGAUGAUGUAUAUGGGCUGACGCCUGCCCGGUGCUGGAAGGUUAAGGGGAAGUGUUAGAGCAAUCGAAGCACUGAACUUAAGCCCCAGUAAACGGCGGCCGUAACUAUAACGGUCCUAAGGUAGCGAAAUUCCUUGUCAGGUAAGUUCUGACCCGCACGAAUGGCGUAACGACUUGAGAGCUGUCUCAACAACAUACCCGGCGAAAUUGAAGUACUGGUAAAGAUGCCAGUUACCCGUGAUAAGACGGAAAGACCCCAUGGAGCUUUACUGUAACUUGAUAUUGAAUUUUUGUAUUACAUGUACAGGAUAGGUGGGAGACAGAGAACUAAUGCCGCCAGGUGUUAGGGAGUCGAUGUUGGGAUACCACUCUUGUAAUAUGAAGGUUCUAACCUGCACCCGUGAAUCCGGGUGGGGGACACUGUCAGGUGGACAGUUUGACUGGGGCGGUCGCCUCCUAAAAGGUAACGGAGGCGUUCAAAGGUUGGUUCAGCACGGACGGAAAUCGUGCAACGAGUGCAAACGCAUAAACCAGCCUAACUGCGAGACCGACAAGUCGAGCAGUAACGAAAGUUGGAGUUAGU
RNAcentral lists this ribosomal RNA (1907 nucleotides) under human gut metagenome. Its description in RNAcentral is "bacterial LSU rRNA". It matches the Rfam family "Bacterial large subunit ribosomal RNA", at positions 441 to 2416 of the family's 2925-position model. The record is from RNAcentral.